Small nuclear RNA from Gorilla gorilla gorilla (western lowland gorilla), 95 nucleotides. NCBI's taxonomy places the organism in Eukaryota, Metazoa, Chordata, Mammalia, Primates, Hominidae. The record is from Ensembl.
CCACUUUAGCAGCACAUACACUAAAAUUGGAAUGACACAGAGCACGGCCCCUGAACAAGGAUGACGUGCAAGUUUGUGUAGUGUUCCAGAUUUUU